RNAcentral lists this ribosomal RNA (689 nucleotides) under uncultured bacterium. RNAcentral describes it as "bacterial SSU rRNA". It matches the Rfam family "Bacterial small subunit ribosomal RNA", at positions 126 to 812 of the family's 1533-position model. The record is from RNAcentral.
CUGCCUGCCACAGCCGGAUAAUCGGGAGAAAUUCCGUCUAAUACGGCAUAAUGCAUCGACGGGACAUCCUGUUGGUGCCAAAGGUUAAUUCCGGUGGCGGAUGGGCAUGCGUCGCAUUAGUCAGUUGGCGGUGUAACGGACCACCAAGACGACGAUGCGUAGGGGUUCUGAGAGGAAGGUCCCCCACACUGGUACUGAGACACGGACCAGACUCCUACGGGAGGCAGCAGUGAGGAAUAUUGGUCAAUGGGCGGGAGCCUGAACCAGCCAAGUCGCGUGAGGGAUGACGGCCCUAUGGGUUGUAAACCUCUUUUGCCGGGGAGCAAAGUGCCGCACGUGUGCGGUUUGGAGAGUACCCGGAGAAAAAGCAUCGGCUAACUCCGUGCCAGCAGCCGCGGUAAUACGGAGGAUGCGAGCGUUAUCCGGAUUUAUUGGGUUUAAAGGGUGCGUAGGCGGACGCUUAAGUCAGCGGUAAAAUUGCGGGGCUCAACCUCGUCGAGCCGUUGAAACUGGGUGCCUUGAGUGGGCGAGAAGUACGCGGAAUGCGUGGUGUAGCGGUGAAAUGCAUAGAUAUCACGCAGAACUCCGAUUGCGAAGGCAGCGUACCGGCGCCCAACUGACGCUGAAGCACGAAGGCGUGGGUAUCGAACAGGAUUAGAUACCCUGGUAGUCCACGCAGUAAACGAUGA